Long non-coding RNA from Lynx canadensis (Canada lynx), 991 nucleotides. RefSeq lists it as uncharacterized. NCBI's taxonomy places the organism in Eukaryota, Metazoa, Chordata, Mammalia, Carnivora, Felidae. The record is from RefSeq and is a predicted model, not a curated record. The transcript has 3 exons.
CGCACGGUUCUGGCUCUGAGUCUCUUAUGAGGUUGCAAAGAGUGGCUGGAGUCAUCAUGAUGGCCUGAUGCAGGUGCAGGCACCAGGAAGACGCAGACAGCUGAGGACGUGAAAUGCUCAGGCAUCUCAAAUCUGCUUCUCUUUGGUUUUGUUUUGUUUUGUUUUGUUUCCCCCACAAGGGAUCUCCAGCAUCGUGUCUCAAGACUUCAAAGGCUGAUGUCCCGAGAUGACUGGUUUUGUAAGCCUUAUCUGGGAAGUUAACCAGUGUCAGUUCUGUGACAAGCUCUUCACUGAAACAAAUCGCCAAGGCCCGCAUUUCAUGGUUUUUGGAGCGAGACUUAGCUGUAUUCUUGGCUUCAGGAUCUCACCAGCUUGAAAUCAUUUUGAUGGUAUUGCAACCUCAUCUACGGGCUUGACCGGAGGAGAAUCCACUUCCAAGUGCACUCAGGACCUUGCCCUCCUUUGAGGAAAGAACAGAGUACUCCUGCACAUCAACAAACAGGAACCGGACCCCCUUGCACAACCCCUGAGCACUGAGAUAACAUUUGGAGCUGGUAUCAUCAAGUCUGCACGUAAUCAAGAAAUGUUGCAGGCCGCUGCACUCCUUUUGCUGGUUAACUACCCUAAACCUGUUAAAAAAAAAAAAAAAACCCUGGGUCAGGCAGGAAACCUCCGAGUUGGUUUUUGGACAAGAGUCUGCCUUCUCCCCAGGUUGCCAGCCUUCUGACUAAAGCCCAUGUUCCUUUCUCGUCAAAAACUCUCCUCCUGAGUGAUGGCCUUCCAAGCGACCGGCAGCCGAACUUGGGUUUGGUAACACAUUGACCAAGAAUGUCAAUAUUAGUCCGGACUCUCAGUUGUGUUUCAUUGGUAUAUAUGUCUAUCUGCAUGUGAAUAUUACACUAUCUUGAUUAAUACAUGCUAGUAGCAAGCUUCGAUACCAGGAACUGAAAUCCUCCAGAUUUGUUCUUUUUAAAAAAAUCCUUUUGGCUAA